RNAcentral lists this non-coding RNA (74 nucleotides) under Porticoccaceae bacterium. The record is from RNAcentral. Lineage: Bacteria; Pseudomonadati; Pseudomonadota; Gammaproteobacteria; Cellvibrionales; Porticoccaceae.
AGGCGAAACCGGCGCGCUUAUAGCGUGUCGGUCGUUCACGCGUUGUGGCGUGUUCCUGACGAUGCCAGCAUGUA